Long non-coding RNA from Etheostoma spectabile (orangethroat darter), 844 nucleotides. RefSeq lists it as uncharacterized. The transcript has 3 exons. Lineage: Eukaryota; Metazoa; Chordata; Actinopteri; Perciformes; Percidae. The record is from RefSeq and is a predicted model, not a curated record.
CGAUGUUACGUGAUGGUGUAGAAUAAAUGUGAGGAAUGCCAUGUCUAAAUAUAUACUUUAGCUAUUUACCAGGUUUUGCACAAUCCAAAUAUGUAUGUGUAGCCCCACCUGCUGGCAACAGAAUAAAACGUGGUUUAAGUGGUAGGCUACUGAGUAAUUUAUAAAUGAAUAUAAUUCUGGAUUCAUUUAUGACAUUAAAAAAACAAGUUAUUUUUCUUUUUUUUUUAUACAGUUUAAUGUCGCAGAAUAUAUUAGUUUUACAUUCCAAUCUUAAAAUAUCUUACUGUUUUACUGUGUACUUGGCUCCAGAUGCCCUGUAAAGUGCUCCUAGUUUGGGAGAAUUACAAUGCGCAUGCCCAAAGCUAACUGCCCUGCUGCAAUUUGAUUGGCUGUUUGCCAAAUACUGUUGUCAUUAGCUUCCAUUUGGAAGGCGGCAGCCGUUAGCAUUUCAAGAGCGUAAAUGCGGUCACCGUGAACGAUGUGGGUUAUCUUCUACAGAACACAUUUUAUACACAUUUUAUAAAAAAUAAAAAAAACUUGAGAAGAAACAUGUAAUACCCACCAGCUGCGAGAUAUUUUUUAUAAACCCAAACCUAUGUUAAAAUAAUCCCAUUUGACGUGGAGUGGUUCUUCGGGGCGGGGGAGCAAACUGCUAGUGUUAGCUUGUCGGAGAAGACACCUUUUCUGUAGUAUUUAUAUUGCACACACUCCUGCUUGGUUUGAACUUCCCGUGUUUGUUUAAAUUCGAAGGGACGGUAGCCUACCUGGUCAAGAACAGACUUUCAGGAUGUCAAGCAUUUUUCUGAGAGGAUUACCCGACAUGAAAGCAGCAGGACAAACCCAU